GAUCAAAUCAAGCGCGAGAAGGGCGUUUGGUGGAUGCCUUGGCAGUAAGAGGCGAUGAAGGACGUGAUACUCUGCGAUAAGUCAUGGGGAGCUGAGAAUAGGCUUUGAUCCAUGAAUUUCCGAAUGGGGCAACCCACCUGACAGUUCACUAUAAUAGCUUCGGCUAUUUAUAGGGUUCUGAAACAGGUACUUAAGGACUGAAUACAUAGGUCUUUAAGAGCAAACCCGGAGAACUGAAACAUCUAAGUACCCGGAGGAAAGGACAUCAAUUGAUACUCCCCUAGUAGCGGCGAGCGAACGGGGACCAGCCAAGCCUUGAGAGUGACUAGAACAUGUUGGGAAGCAUGGCCAUAGCGGGUGACAGCCCCGUAUAGGAAGCUCGAUAGGAUGUAUUAAGUAGGGCGGGACACGUGAAAUCCUGUCUGAAGAUCGGAGGACCACCUUCGAAGGCUAAGUACUCCUUACUGACCGAUAGCGAACCAGUACCGUGAGGGAAAGGUGAAAAGCACCCCGACUAGGGGAGUGAAACAGUACCUGAAACCGAACGCCUACAAUCAGUCGGAGCUUGACUGGACUCUAAUGACAAUCUGCGUCACACAUGGAAAAAACUCCAUGGAGAUCGGGACAUGUCAGACAUUGCUUUCAUUACGGAUGGUACCGCUGCGGUGGUCGGUUUGGCCCUUGGCCUGCUGAACAUGGCAGUCAAUCACUGUCCCAACGAAGGUUGCCUGGCAAAGAACGAUGUGGUGCCGUUUACCAGCAUUUCCGCUGGCGAGGUUUACUUCCAGGAAAACGCCGUUGGCGAGGAAGUGUUCGUUCGCCGGCAGACAUCCACGGCACGCGGCCCGUUCCAAUUCACCUACGGUGGGUCCAUCACGGAUGAUGGCGGCCUGUGGGUGGGUCUCGGAAACACCACGACAUACACGACGCCGAACGAACGGUGGUACGCUCAGUUCCACUCGAUGCCCGGGCUUUACGCCGAGGGUAGCGAUGUCGAUCUGGGUGGCCCGAUCAUCUUUCGAUCGGGUGUCGAAUUCGGGUAUCAGGCACGCAACGGCGUGCGCAUGAGCCUGAGUUUCGAUCAUCGGUCGAACGCUGGGAUCUACAGCGAUAACCCGGGCCUUGAAACGGUUCAGUUCCGGGUCUCGAUCCCGACAAAAUAACCGGAAACGGUUGUCAUUAGUGUCCAGUCUUGUGACGGCGUACCUUUUGUAUAAUGGGUCAUCGACUUGGUCUAUCUAGCAAGCUUAAGCCGUUAGGUGUAGGCGCAGCGAAAGCGAGUCUUAAUAGGGCGUCGAGUUAGAUGGAUCAGACCCGAAACCGAGUGAUCUAGGCAUGACCAGGCUGAAGGUAAGGUAACACUUACUGGAGGGCCGAACCCACAUCUGUUGAAAAAGAUCGGGAUGAGUUGUGCCUAGGGGUGAAAGGCCAAUCAAACUCGGAGAUAGCUGGUUCUCUGCGAAAUCUAUUUAGGUAGAGCGUCAUCCGAAUACCCUCGGGGGUAGAGCACUGGAUGGGUAAUGGGGCCCCACAGGCUUACUGAUCCUAACCAAACUCCGAAUACCGAGGAGUACUAGAUGGCAGACACACUGCGGGUGCUAACGCCCGUAGUGGAGAGGGAAACAACCCUGACCUCCGGCUAAGGCCCCCAAUUCAUGGCUAAGUGGGAAAGCAGGUGAGACGACCAAAACAACCAGGAGGUUGGCUUAGAAGCAGCCAUCCUUUAAAGAUAGCGUAACAGCUCACUGGUCUAAAUAAGUUGUCUUGCGGCGAAGAUGUAACGGGGCUCAAGCCAUGAGCCGAAGCCGAGGAGUGCGUAUGCACUGGUAGCAGAGCGUAGUGUGACAUAGUCUCAUUCCUCCUUAGCGGGUUCGCCCGCAUUGGAGGAGAGAGGCUUUCGAUGAAGCGGGCGCGUGAGCGAUCCCGUGGAGAGAUCACUAGUGAGAAUGAUGACAUGAGUAGCGACAAAGAGUGUGAGAGACACUCUCGCCGAAAGUCCAAGGGUUCCUGCUUAAAGCUAAUCUGAGCAGGGUAAGCCGACCCCUAAGGCGAGGCCGAAAGGCGUAGUCGAUGGGAAUCAGGUUAAUAUUCCUGAGCCAGAUGGAAGUGACGGAUUGCGAGGGUUGUUCAUCCUUAUCGGAUUGGAUGGGCAGCUUAGCAGUCCCUGGAAAUAGCUCCAUCAUAAGAUCGUACCCUAAACCAACACAGGUGGACUGGUAGAGAAUACCAAGGCGCUUGAGAGAACGAUGUUGAAGGAACUCGGCAAAAUACCUCCGUAAGUUCGCGAGAAGGAGGCCCGGGUUUCAGGCAACUGAAGUCCGGGGGCACAAACCAGGGGGUGGCGACUGUUUACUAAAAACACAGGGCUCUGCGAAGUCGCAAGACGACGUAUAGGGUCUGACGCCUGCCCGGUGCCUGAAGGUUAAAAGGAGAUGUGAGAGCGUCGAAUUGAAGCCCAGGUAAACGGCGGCCGUAACUAUAACGGUCCUAAGGUAGCGAAAUUCCUUGUCGGGUAAGUUCCGACCUGCACGAAUGGCGUAACGACUUCCCCGCUGUCUCCAACAUCGACUCAGCGAAAUUGAAUUGCCUGUCAAGAUGCAGGCUUCCCGCGGUUAGACGGAAAGACCCCGUGCACCUUUACUACAGCUUCGCACUGGCAUCAGGACUGCAUUGUGCAGGAUAGGUGGUAGGCUUUGAAACCGUGACGCCAGUCGCGGUGGAGCCAUCCUUGAGAUACCACCCUAUGCAUUCUUGAUGUCUAACCGCGGCCCGUUAUCCGGGUCCGGGACCCUGCGUGGCGGGUAGUUUGACUGGGGCGGUCGCCUCCUAAAGCGUAACGGAGGCGCGCGAAGGUUGGCUCAGAGCGGUCGGAAAUCGCUCGUUGAGUGCAAUGGCAUAAGCCAGCCUGACUGCGAGACUGACAAGUCGAGCAGAGUCGAAAGACGGCCAUAGUGAUCCGGUGGUCCCAAGUGGGAGGGCCAUCGCUCAACGGAUAAAAGGUACGCCGGGGAUAACAGGCUGAUACUGCCCAAGAGUCCAUAUCGACGGCAGUGUUUGGCACCUCGAUGUCGGCUCAUCUCAUCCUGGGGCUGGAGCAGGUCCCAAGGGUACGGCUGUUCGCCGUUUAAAGAGGUACGUGAGCUGGGUUUAGAACGUCGUGAGACAGUUCGGUCCCUAUCUGCCGUGGGUGUAGGAUACUUGAGAGGAGUUGCCCCUAGUACGAGAGGACCGGGGUGAACGUUCCACUGGUGGACCAGUUGUCGUGCCAACGGCAGUGCUGGGUAGCUAUGAACGGACAGGAUAACCGCUGAAGGCAUCUAAGCGGGAAGCCCCCCUCAAAACAAGGUAUCCCUGAGGACCGUGGUAGACCACCACGUCGAUAGGCCGGAGAUGUAAGCGCAGCAAUGCGUUCAGUUGACCGGUACUAAUUGUCCGAUAGGCUUGAUUUGAUCCAG
This 3455-nucleotide ribosomal RNA is filed under the name Roseovarius atlanticus. RNAcentral describes it as "bacterial LSU rRNA". It matches the Rfam family "Bacterial large subunit ribosomal RNA". Lineage: Bacteria; Pseudomonadati; Pseudomonadota; Alphaproteobacteria; Rhodobacterales; Roseobacteraceae. The record is from RNAcentral.